GGUGAACGCUGGCGGCGUGCCUAAUACAUGCAAGUCGAGCGAACGGACGAGAAGCUUGCUUCUCUGAUGUUAGCGGCGGACGGGUGAGUAACACGUGGAUAACCUACCUAUAAGACUGGGAUAACUUCGGGAAACCGGAGCUAAUACCGGAUAAUAUUUUGAACCGCAUGGUUCAAAAGUGAAAGACGGUCUUGCUGUCACUUAUAGAUGGAUCCGCGCUGCAUUAGCUAGUUGGUAAGGUAACGGCUUACCAAGGCAACGAUGCAUAACCGACCUGAGAGGGUGAUCGGCCACACUGGAACUGAGACACGGUCCAGACUCCUACGGGAGGCAGCAGUAGGGAAUCUUCCGCAAUGGGCGAAAGCCUGACGGAGCAACGCCGCGUGAGUGAUGAAGGUCUUCGGAUCGUAAAACUCUGUUAUUAGGGAAGAACAUAUGUGUAAGUAACUGUGCACAUCUUGACGGUACCUAAUCAGAAAGCCACGGCUAACUACGUG
Molecule: ribosomal RNA, 497 nt
Filed under: uncultured bacterium
Lineage: Bacteria
Description: partial 16S ribosomal RNA
Rfam family: Bacterial small subunit ribosomal RNA
Source: RNAcentral